GAUGAACGCUGGCGGCGUGCCUAAUACAUGCAAGUCGAGCGAACGGACGAGAAGCUUGCUUCUCUGAUGUUAGCGGCGGACGGGUGAGUAACACGUGGAUAACCUACCUAUAAGACUGGGAUAACUUCGGGAAACCGGAGCUAAUACCGGAUAAUAUUUUGAACCGCAUGGUUCAAAAGUGAAAGACGGUCUUGCUGUCACUUAUAGAUGGAUCCGCGCUGCAUUAGCUAGUUGGUAAGGUAACGGCUUACCAAGGCAACGAUGCAUAGCCGGCCUGAGAGGGUGAUCGGCCACACUGGAACUGAGACACGGUCCAGACUCCUACGGGAGGCAGCAGUAGGGAAUCUUCCGCAAUGGGCGAAAGCCUGACGGAGCAACGCCGCGUGAGUGAUGAAGGUCUUCGGAUCGUAAAACUCUGUUAUUAGGGAAGAACAUAUGUGUAAGUAACUGUGCACAUCGUGACGGUACCUAAUCAGAAAGCCACGGCUAACUACGUG
RNAcentral lists this ribosomal RNA (497 nucleotides) under uncultured bacterium. RNAcentral's name for it is "partial 16S ribosomal RNA". It matches the Rfam family "Bacterial small subunit ribosomal RNA", at positions 28 to 507 of the family's 1533-position model. The record is from RNAcentral.